GACGAACGCUGGCGGCGUGCUUAACACAUGCAAGUCGAACGGAAAGGCCCUGCUUUUGUGUGGUGCCCGAGUGGCGAACGGGUGAGUUACACGUGAGUAACCUGCCCUUGACUUGGGGAUAACUUCAGGCAACUGCGGCUACUACCGGCUAGGAGCUCCUGCUGCAUGGUGGGGGUUGGAAAGUUUCGGCGGUUGGGGAUGGACUGGGGGCUUAUCAGCUUGUUGGUUGGGUACUGGCUUACCAAGGCUUUGACGGGUAGCCGGCCUGGGAGGGGGACCGGCCACAUUGGGACUGAGGUACGGCCCAGACGCCAACGGGAGGCAGCAGUGGGGAAUAUUACACAAUGGGCGGGAGCCUGAUGCAGAGACGCCGCGUGCGGAAUGACGGCCUACGGGUUGUAAACCGCUGUCGCCUGUGACCAAGCGGGAGUGACGGUAAUGGGUAAAGAAGCACCGGCUAACUACGUG
RNAcentral lists this ribosomal RNA (468 nucleotides) under uncultured bacterium. Its description in RNAcentral is "partial 16S ribosomal RNA". It matches the Rfam family "Bacterial small subunit ribosomal RNA", at positions 28 to 507 of the family's 1533-position model. The record is from RNAcentral.